UGAGCAACUUGAAAAUGAAAACAAGGCUCGA
Molecule: non-coding RNA, 31 nt
Filed under: Rattus norvegicus (Norway rat)
Lineage: Eukaryota; Metazoa; Chordata; Mammalia; Rodentia; Muridae
Source: RNAcentral